Molecule: ribosomal RNA, 528 nt
Filed under: uncultured bacterium
Lineage: Bacteria
Description: bacterial SSU rRNA
Rfam family: Bacterial small subunit ribosomal RNA
Source: RNAcentral
AGUGAACGCUGGCGGCGUGCCUAACACAUGCAAGUCGAACGGGCUAGUGCUUCGCACUAGUCUCUUUCUGGGGUUGUUACUCUAAGGCUACCUGCUAAAGUUAUUGCUUUAAAGCAGGGGUUUUAGGAGACUUUCCCCGAAAGGGGCCAGUGCGGAGCACUGGCCAGUGGCGAACGGGUGAGUAACACGUGGGUAAUCUACCCUCGAGUGGGGAAUAAGCUUCCGAAAGGGGGUCUAAUGCCGCAUAACGUUUCAUAACGAUGGUUAUGAAACCAAAGCCCAAAAGGCGCUCGAGGAGGAGCCUGCGUCCUAUCAGCUUGUUGGCAGGGUAAUGGCCUACCAAGGCUAUGACGGGUAGCCGGCCUGAGAGGGUGUCCGGCCACACUGGAACUGAGACACGGUCCAGACUCCUACGGAAGGCAGCAGUGGGGAAUAUUGGGCAAUGGGGGCAACCUGACCCAGCGACGCCGCGUGAGGGACGAAGUCCUUCGGGAGUGUAAACCGUACUCGUUGUGGGGUAGGAAGGCG